AUGGGGGAGCUACCUGCCGCGGUCGCAAUGGAAGCAGAGGAGCAGACCCCACCUGCCCCUCCCUCACGAGCAGGACAGGGCUGCCGGCUGGGCACGCCCCUACUCCUCCGCCUCCUUGAUCAGGAGACCCCCUUCCCCUACUGCUGCUUGGCGCGCCGCAUCACUAGUCACCUCCUCAUGCAAGAAGGGAGAGGAUGGAAGGGAAUGCAAUGGAAGAAGAAAUUGAAAAGGAGAGGAGAUGAGAGGGGGCUGACCGUCGGGGUUCUCCAUGGCAUCAGCAUCGGGGCAGCCUUCCCGUCCAUGCCAUGGCGGCCCGGAGCGCGAGCGACGACGACGUGCUGGAUGGAUCUGGUAGCGAGAGGAGACAAGUUGCCGGAGACACGCCGACGACGCGGUGGACCAAACCCUAUACACAGGAGACGGUCGCGCAUGGCCGCUGGAGCACGCGAGCACCGGAUCUGGGCGGAGCGCGAGGCCGCCGCCGCGCCUCCCCCGCCGCAGGGCCGGGUGCGGGUCACCUCCCACGAAAGGAGACAGAGCGGAGCCGGCGCGGACAUGGAUGGGACUCGGACGCGCUCGCGGUCGGUGGUGGCAACCAUGUCCAUGACGGCCAGUGAAGGGGUGGGUGGCGGCGAGGGGAGGGAUCUGGAUCGGGAGCGACGAUUCUGGCUGGAGGCGAGGAAGGAGUGGAGGGGGGGAAGGGGAGGGUGCAGACGAGGGGAGAGGUGGGCGGCGGAAGGAAGGGGAGGACGGCGAAUGGCGGGAGCAGGUGGUGGCGGCGGCGGUCCAAUGGAGGGAAAGGGGAGAGGGGUUAGGGUUUGGGCUGCGGGGAGAGGAGUGGUGUGCAGGGGAGAGGAGGAGAGGGGGGAGGAGUGGUGUGCCCGCGAGGGGGGAGGAGUGGUUGAGUGGUGGCAUUUUGCCAAUGACAGGUGGGCCCGCGAGGAAUUAGGCCCACAUGUCAGUGUCCUCAACGACAUGUGGUGUAGGGAGACGCCACUGCUGUCUGAGGGAGACGCCGCCGCCGCAUCUCUCAAUCCCAUCCAUCGUUGCCGCCGCCGCCGCCGCAUCUCUCAAUCCCAUCCAUCGUUGCCGCCGCCGCUGCCGCAUCUCUCAAUCCCAUCCAUUGUUGCCGCCGCCGCCGCCGCCUCUGCCACCGCCGAGAUCCGAGACGAUCCGCCCCCGCCGAGGACCGAGUGGAGCGGCUGCCUCCACGUUGCCGCCGCCGGCGCUGGCCAGGCUCCCCACCGAUGGGCGCUCCGGGUCGCCGCUCCUCAAGGCCAGUUCCCCUUGCUGCUCCAGAUCGCGCCUCGGUUUGUGAUCCCUUGGGGAUCCUGCCGGUGCUGGAGGCGUCCGCGAUGGUGCGGACUUAGGACCGAGCGGCGGGGCACGUUACGUGUUCUGGUUGAGAGAUUGGUCGGGCUGGCAUGGGAAAUGAACUGCCGUCGAUGGAUUUUUUUGGCAGCUUGGCUGCAUGUUGCUUCAGAUUUGGUACUAUCCCCAUCUUUGAUCAAUUACAUCUAUAUUCUUGCUUGCAAGGUUUGUAGGUUCAUUGGAACAAAUGUUCAAAAGGAAGAUGCACUGUCACUGGUCCAGGAUAAAAUUAAUUACAGUGGGCAAAAUAGUUCAGCUCUUUGUUUUACAAGUUUCAGGAUUGAAGGGGAGAUGCUACAACAGUACAACUACAAGUUCCCUUGCUUCUUUAAGUUGCUCACUCGGAAGGUGGUCUUCUCCAAGGCCUCCCUAGCCUUUGAACAUGACCGCUCCAUCAAGGCUGCAAUUAUAUGCCUGGGGGUGGUCAAACUGAAAAGUUCAGGGGAGAUUCAGAUUACAUGUGGGCGAAUCCACCCGCGCGCCGCCAGGACUUCCCCUCUCCCCUUCUCGUCUCUCCGCUGCCGGAGGCGCUCCGCCGAUGAAGCCUGGGCGGGCGUCAGUGAGGGCGGCGGCGGGGCCUCUUCCUGGGCGCCCUCCUUUCUUCUCCUUCCCCCUUCGCGGGGUGUGGCGGCUGCGCGGCGGUGCACGCCGAUAUGCGAGAUCCGGCUGCGGGGUGCAGCGGCGGUCCUCGGCGGGCGGCUUGCUGUGGCCGGUGUCGUCGGCGUGGCCUUGGCGCAUCGUGGGGUGGACGCGGUCGGCCAGGGCAAGCGGCCAGAUCUGAGCGCCGCGCCCUUUCCUGGAUGCGGCGACGGGGAUGGCUGGCGGUGCCACGGUGGCUGCACCCUGGCAACGCGGCUGCCGGUGCUUUGGUGGCGGGGCUGGCUGGAGGAGGUGUAUCCGGUGGUGGCGUGCUGUGUCGGACCUAGGUUUGGUCCCGGCGAGUGGCUCGGCGUGGUGGCUGCUCUGGUCGGGGGCUACGGCGGCGCGGGGUGGUAUGGUGGCCUACCUGCUGCUUGGUUUCUACACGGCAGCUCGGCGGUUCCGGCUGCAGCGACGGUUGGCUUCUCCGCCGGCGUCGGCUCGUUUGCAGGGCUUGACCUCUCCCAGCUGCGGUCCGCCGCUCGUCUCGCGUCCCGGUGCUACAUGACCGAGCUCGUCCCGCGCCCGACGCGGCUAGACGGAGCUCGUCUCACGCACGGUGCAGCAGGACUGACCUUUGGAUCGGGCGUGUUGGCCGAGGUGAAAACCUGUUCUAUCUUCGGAUGGACCGGCAGCGGCGAAGAUCGUUCCCUUCUUGAAGGCGUCGUCGCGGCUCUCAUUGCCUGUCAUGCGGUUCCGGGGGAAACUCUGAUCUUUGGAUCGGGCGGUGGCAGCGAUCCGGUGUCGUUCCCUUCAAGAAGGCGCCGCCUUGGAGCGCAUGGAGGUGAUUUUGAUAUGGAGAUUUCAGUUGAGAAGAUAUUCCUUGCACAGAAAAUGAUGAUCUACAAGUGCAACCUUGCUGGUGAGCCUGUUGUCACAGCGAUUUCAAUCAAAUUAUGGUUCUUGGUUGAAGCCCUCUUGAUGAACGACACCCCAUGCCACUAG
RNAcentral lists this ribosomal RNA (2955 nucleotides) under Triticum aestivum (bread wheat). RNAcentral's name for it is "partial small subunit ribosomal RNA". The record is from RNAcentral. Lineage: Eukaryota; Viridiplantae; Streptophyta; Magnoliopsida; Poales; Poaceae.